Molecule: ribosomal RNA, 207 nt
Filed under: uncultured bacterium
Lineage: Bacteria
Description: partial 16S ribosomal RNA
Rfam family: Bacterial small subunit ribosomal RNA
Source: RNAcentral
CACGUAGGCGGAUUGUUAAGUCAGGGGUGAAAUCCUGGAGCUCAACUCCAGAACUGCCUUUGAUACUGACGGUCUUGAGUUCGGGAGAGGUGAGUGGAACUGCGAGUGUAGAGGUGAAAUUCGUAGAUAUUCGCAAGAACACCAGUGGCGAAGGCGGCUCACUGGCCCGAUACUGACGCUGAGGUGCGAAAGCGUGGGGAGCAAACA